RNAcentral lists this ribosomal RNA (496 nucleotides) under uncultured bacterium. Its description in RNAcentral is "partial 16S ribosomal RNA". It matches the Rfam family "Bacterial small subunit ribosomal RNA", at positions 28 to 506 of the family's 1533-position model. The record is from RNAcentral.
GAUGAACGCUGGCGGCGUGCCUAAUACAUGCAAGUCGAGCGAACAGAUGAGGAGCUUGCUCCUCUGACGUUAGCGGCGGACGGGUGAGUAACACGUGGAUAACCUACCUAUAAGACUGGGAUAACUUCGGGAAACCGGAGCUAAUACCGGAUAAUAUAUUGAACCGCAUGGUUCAAUAGUGAAAGACGGUUUUGCUGUCACUUAUAGAUGGAUCCGCGCCGCAUUAGCUAGUUGGUAAGGUAACGGCUUACCAAGGCAACGAUGCGUAGCCGACCUGAGAGGGGGAUCGGCACACUGGAAAUUGGGCACGGGCCAGAACCCCAAGGGGGGGAAGAGGGGGGAAACUUGCAGAAAGGGGGAAAGCCCGAACGGGGAAAAGCCGGGGGGUGAAGAAAGGCUUUGGGUUGGUAAACCUUUUUUUUUAGGAAAAAAAAAAGGGGUAAAUAACUAUGCAGGUCUUAAGGGUACCAAAGAAGAAAGCCCGGGCAACCUCGGU